RNAcentral lists this long non-coding RNA (768 nucleotides) under Sorghum bicolor (sorghum). RNAcentral describes it as "long non-coding RNA (SBIC_LNC003797)". The record is from RNAcentral. Lineage: Eukaryota; Viridiplantae; Streptophyta; Magnoliopsida; Poales; Poaceae.
UUUAAUUUGCUAUGGCACACAGCCGGGACUGAAAACUCUGACCAGGCGAGGGACUUCGGCCUCCCCUUGAAGGAUCGAUUCUACCUGCAGCCGCUGCCACCGGCGGAGGCGGCGGCGAGGGUGAAGACGUCGGCGCAGGACAUCAUCAACCUGAAGCCGCUCAUCGACAAGAAGGCGUGGCCGUACGUCCAGAACGACCUCCGCCUCAGGGCCUCCUACCUGCGCUAUGACCUCAAGACCGUCAUCGCUUCAAAGCCCAAGGAGGAGAAGAAGAGCCUCAAGGAGCUCACCGGCAAGCUCUUCAGCACCAUCGACGAUGUAAGUUGAAUCCUAUUGAUCAUUGAUCUAUCUGGAAGCAAUUCAAUUUCCUUCCCCUCAACCUUUGACAAGAAUUGUUGGAAAAUGACACGUGAGCUUCUCUUCCCGUUUUGGCAGCUUGACCAUGCCGCGAAGAUCAAGAGCACCCCAGAGGCCGAGAAAUACUUUGCAGCAACCAAAGAUGUGCUCGGCGAUGUUCUCGCCAAGAUAGGCUAGACGGAAGGGCUAAUAAUGGCCAUUUAAUUUCGAACUUGUGUUUGUUCAUAUGGAGCCGGCAAUGUACCAUUUUCUGUUGAUAUUGUAUCAGAAAGCACUUAACUAUGAUGCUAUCCUGAGUUCUUGAGACAAGUACUGUUGCGAGCUGAUGCAACAAUCAGAAACAGGUACCAACAACCUUAAUCCGUGAUGAGGUCAUCAAACACAUGCCUCCUGAUAAAGCCCCUAGUCCAG